This 253-nucleotide ribosomal RNA is filed under the name uncultured bacterium. Its description in RNAcentral is "partial 16S ribosomal RNA". It matches the Rfam family "Bacterial small subunit ribosomal RNA", at positions 524 to 776 of the family's 1533-position model. The record is from RNAcentral.
UACAGAGGGGGCAAGCGUUGUUCGGAAUUACUGGGCGUAAAGGGCGCGUAGGCGGCCUUCUAAGUCGAACGUGAAAUCCCCGGGCUUAACCCGGGAACUGCGUCCGAGACUGAAAGGCUUGAAUCCGGGAGAGGGAUGUGGAAUUCCAGGUGUAGCGGUGAAAUGCGUAGAUAUCUGGAGGAACACCGGUGGCGAAGGCGGCAUCCUGGACCGGCAUUGACGCUGAGGCGCGAAAGCUAGGGGAGCAAACGGG